This 2117-nucleotide long non-coding RNA is filed under the name Nicotiana tabacum (common tobacco). Its description in RNAcentral is "long non-coding RNA (NTAB_LNC004797)". The record is from RNAcentral. Lineage: Eukaryota; Viridiplantae; Streptophyta; Magnoliopsida; Solanales; Solanaceae.
AGGCGUAAGAGCCAUUGUUGCCAGCCCACAUAAAAGGCCACAUCGACCUAAGGCGUAAGAGCCAUUAUUUCCAGACCACAUAAAAGGUUGUAUCGACCUAAGGCAUAAGAGCCAUUGUUGCCAGACCAUAGAAAAGGUGCACCAACCCAACGCGUAAGAGCCUAAGGACCAGCUUGCAAUUCAAAAACUUGAGGGUCGAAUGAGCUCGAGUCAAAACUCGAUUUGGAGACUGAACCCAAAAUAGUUAACUGAAUAUGCCUAAGAGCAAAUGUGUAAGAGCCACUAUCUCUAUCACUAAUAUCGAAGGUCGAACCGACCAAAAGCGUAAGAGCCACUGUCGCCAGCACUAAAACCAAAGGUCGUAUCUACCAAUCGCGUAAGAGCCUACGGGCUAGCUUAAUGAGCCUCAGGGCCAUACCACGAAUCUAAGGAUUCCUUCUAACUAAAAAACUAGUUCAUAUGGCUAAAAUCAAGGCAAAAAGAAAUGCAGAAGAAAUGAAACCGCGAGGGUUUCCUUUUAUACAUACAUGCGGGAAAAUAGAAGCUCCAUUUACAACAUACUUCGAAAGUACUAUGUGUAGAAUCAGAAAAGGAAAUCUAUGUCCCCCUUGGGGACUAUGGCCCAUCGGCCUCAUCCUCAUUAUCCUCGGCGUCAGACAGAAGUGACUUAGCGCCAUGUUCGUCCGCCUUCACCCGCUUCACCUCUUUCGAGAGGUCAAAGGCCCUAGCAUGAAUCUCCUCGAAGGGUUCCGUUCGAGACUUACACCGAGUAUAUUCCUUGCUCCUUCCCUCACGGUCAAGAGUCCUUCUCAGCCCAGCUUGGGCAUCGACAUCGUCCUUCAAAUAGAUCGCCACUUUCUGGUCAGCCUUAGUUUGGCUCAUUAUAGCUUCAGCCCGAGCAUCCACAACCUCAGCCUUUAUUUUCAAGAGCUCAGACUCGAGCUUCAUAAUCAUAUCUGUUCGAACCAAGCUAUUAUCAUGAGCUAAGCGAAGUUGAACCUCAAAGGCAGAAGCUUUAGCCAGAGCACCCUUCUCCGUCGACUCCUGAGCGUCCGCCUGAGUCUUUAACUCGUCAUACUCGCACUUGGCUUGGCCAAUAUCAUCCCGAAGGCGCUCCAAGUCCUCCAUCUUUUUCUGCAACUGAAAUAAACGAAACAUUAGCCUCAGGAGCUAGAAGGAGGAACACACACUCACUCGGAACAAAAACUACCUAUUCCUUCAAGUAGCUCUCAUAAUUCAAGCUCCGACUCGCCUCAUACCGUAAGUGUGCCAAGUUGACAUCCUUUUCAUCACAAAGGAGCCUAAGGGAUUUCUCCUCAUCCAGAGCUUUCCGUAUCCUGGCCUCACGGUGAAGCAGUUCGGACUUAAACUUGUCAAAGGCCUGCAAAAGAGAACUCAAUAAGGAAGGGAAGGCGCGAAACUUGAAAGGCCUAUGCCAAAACUCACCACAGAGUGAAUCCGAUGGGCUUCCUCGAAGGUCAAGAGCACAUCUUCUAACCUUGCUCCCUCAGCUCUGAAACAGUCGACCCCGAUUGAGGCACAGUCGCUCCGUGCAUACGACCCCGAGUUUUGAGUGUCCCUCGAAGUACCUUCGAUGGAAAAAGAAGAUAACAUCAGAGGAGAAACUGCCUUUCCAAAACUAGGAAUCACAUGCACGGCAGGCUCAGUCAAUACUUCCACUCGGGGCCCCCGGUACAGGUUCGCUUGCUUUGAGUGCCGUCGCCCUACAGAGGCAUCUAUCUCUUAUUGUUAUCAUUCUUUAGCCCAGAAGCUGGAAAUCUUCCCCUCUCUCAUAAAUGGCACGACCUUGCUUUGAGGGACUCCCCAAUGCCUACGAUGACAGAGUUAGUAUGCAGAAAGAAAAUGUGCCCUUCCGAGAGGAAAAAGGGGGGGGGGGGGAGCAAAUCACAUAGCACGUACUAUGGUGUUUUGCCUCCCACCUAUCCAUAGAUAAAGCUCUCCACUUAUGCUCAUUGUAAGUCGAGUGGGUCGCCAACUUCCAAACCCAAUCCGGCAGAUCGAGAACCUCGCCUGGCAUCCACGAAAUCGCUGCAGAAAAAGAAAAGGAGGCGCAUUCACGAAGCCAACAUUCGCUAUAAACAAAACUAAGAAGGCAC